RNAcentral lists this ribosomal RNA (1211 nucleotides) under Vibrio parahaemolyticus. RNAcentral describes it as "bacterial LSU rRNA". It matches the Rfam family "Bacterial large subunit ribosomal RNA", at positions 326 to 1551 of the family's 2925-position model. The record is from RNAcentral. Lineage: Bacteria; Pseudomonadati; Pseudomonadota; Gammaproteobacteria; Vibrionales; Vibrionaceae.
GCGUUAGACGAACGGUCUGGAAAGUCCGACGAUACAGGGUGAUAGUCCCGUAGUUGACGACGUGUGUUCAGUGAAAUCGAGUAGGGCGGGACACGUGAUAUCCUGUCUGAAUAUGGGGGGACCAUCCUCCAAGGCUAAAUACUACUGACUGACCGAUAGUGAACCAGUACCGUGAGGGAAAGGCGAAAAGAACCCCUGUGAGGGGAGUGAAAUAGAACCUGAAACCGUGUACGUACAAGCAGUAGGAGCAGGCUUUGUCCUGUGACUGCGUACCUUUUGUAUAAUGGGUCAGCGACUUAUAUUCAGUGGCAAGGUUAACCAUCUAGGGGAGCCGUAGGGAAACCGAGUCUUAACUGGGCGUUCAGUCUCUGGAUAUAGACCCGAAACCAGGUGAUCUAGCCAUGGGCAGGUUGAAGGUUGAGUAACAUCAACUGGAGGACCGAACCGACUAAUGUUGAAAAAUUAGCGGAUGACUUGUGGCUAGGGGUGAAAGGCCAAUCAAACCUGGAGAUAGCUGGUUCUCCCCGAAAGCUAUUUAGGUAGCGCCUCGGACGAAUACUACUGGGGGUAGAGCACUGUUAAGGCUAGGGGGUCAUCCCGACUUACCAACCCUUUGCAAACUCCGAAUACCAGUAAGUACUAUCCGGGAGACACACGGCGGGUGCUAACGUCCGUCGUGGAGAGGGAAACAACCCAGACCGCCAGCUAAGGUCCCAAAUUACUACUAAGUGGGAAACGAUGUGGGAAGGCUCAGACAGCCAGGAUGUUGGCUUAGAAGCAGCCAUCAUUUAAAGAAAGCGUAAUAGCUCACUGGUCGAGUCGGCCUGCGCGGAAGAUGUAACGGGGCUAAGUAGUAAACCGAAGCUGCGGCAAUGCACUUUGUGCAUUGGGUAGGGGAGCGUUCUGUAAGCGGUUGAAGGUGUGUGGUAACGCAUGCUGGACGUAUCAGAAGUGCGAAUGCUGACAUGAGUAACGAUAAAGGGGGUGAAAAACCUCCUCGCCGGAAGACCAAGGGUUCCUGUCCAACGUUAAUCGGGGCAGGGUAAGUCGACCCCUAAGGCGAGGCCGAAAGGCGUAGUCGAUGGGAAACGGGUUAAUAUUCCCGUACUUCUUACAAUUGCGAUGGGGGGACGGAGAAGGCUAGGUGGGCCUGGCGACGGUUGUCCAGGUUCAAGUGCGUAGGCUUAAGAGUUAGGUAAAUCCGGCUCUUU